Molecule: long non-coding RNA, 528 nt
Organism: Xenopus laevis (African clawed frog)
Lineage: Eukaryota; Metazoa; Chordata; Amphibia; Anura; Pipidae
Exons: 3
Source: RefSeq, a predicted model, not a curated record
CGUCACAAAAAGACCCGAAGUUGAAGUCCUGAAGCCUCGAAAGGACCCAAAGCCAGAGCGGCUGGGAGGAUUAUCUGCAAAGCAGCUGGAUAAUAUUUGGAGCAGCUGGAUUAUCUUCAGAGCAGUUUUGAGGAUUAUCUACUGAGCGGUAGGGAGGAUUAUCUUCAGAGCAGUUUUGAGGAUUAUCUACUGAGCGGUAGGGAGGAUUGUAUUCAGAGCUGCUGUAAAGAUUAUAUUCAGAAGGAUUUAGAGUUUUCUCUGCAGAGCGUCUGGAAGAUUUCUCUGCAGAGUUCCUGGGAGGAGCAGCUGGAACAUCUUCAGAUAGGCUCGAUAAUCUUUAGAGCGGCUGGAUUAUCUUCAGAGUGUCUUGGAAGAUUACCUUCAGAGCGUCCGGAGUAUCUUCAGAGCGGCUGGGAGGAUUAUCUGCAGAAAGAGCGCCACUCCCAACAUGCUGUUGUGACUGUAGAGGAAUAUGCAAAUAAGAAGCAGAAGAAAAGAGAAGGAUAUAGCAGAAGGGAUAGAAGAGAG